UCUGGUGAUGAUGGCGAAGAGGUCACACCCGUUCCCAUGCCGAACACGGAAGUUAAGCUCUUCAGCGCCGAUGGUAGUCGGGGGUUUCCC
This 90-nucleotide ribosomal RNA is filed under the name Bacillus amyloliquefaciens. Lineage: Bacteria; Bacillati; Bacillota; Bacilli; Caryophanales; Bacillaceae. RNAcentral also lists the same sequence under 11 other names. The record is from RNAcentral.